This is a long non-coding RNA of Felis catus (domestic cat), 534 nucleotides long. RefSeq lists it as uncharacterized. Lineage: Eukaryota; Metazoa; Chordata; Mammalia; Carnivora; Felidae. The record is from RefSeq and is a predicted model, not a curated record. The transcript has 3 exons.
CAGAAUAAACAUCAUCACAAAAGGCAUGCCACUAGCUGAUUGAGGAAUCAUCUGGGCUCCAAGGAUCAGAGAUCUCCUGGACCAAGGAACUCAAGAAAGACAUCAUUUAAGAGCACAAUUUGGAAUUCUCGUAUCAGAAGAGGGAGAGCUACAUCCUCCUUUUAACCCACGCAUCGCCUUUGGACUACGCGUAGCAUCGCGCUUGGCCCCCAGAAGUCAUGUGAGCACACUGGGAAAGAAAUCAGGCAGCUAUCUGCAAGCCAAGAAGAGCACUCCCGCCAGAAUCCAUCCAUUCCGGUGCCUUGACCUUGGCAUCACAACUGGGAGAAGAACAUACAUGUGCGUGGCUUUAACUACCCAGCCUCUAGGAUUCUUUUACAGCAGCCCAAGCCAACUAAGACACUGACUCACAUAAGACACCUCAACAGAACUCCCAAAUCUGCAGUCACAUGGCUCCCCUUCCUUGUUGCACUGGUUUUCUUAGAACCAAAAUGUGAAGAUUUACAUUUAACACUAUUUACAUGUCGCAUUCUU